GCUUGUCUCAAAGAUUAAGCCAUGCAUGUUCAAGUAUAGCAAGUGUACAGUGAAACUGCGAAUGGCUCAUUACAUCAGUUAUAGUUUAUUUGAUGGUCCUUGCUACUUGGAUAACCGUAGUAAUUCUAGAGCUAAUACAUGCAUAAAACCCUAACUUCUGGAAAGGGUGUAUUUAUUAGAUGGAAACCAAUGCGGGGCAACCCGGUAUAUGGUGAUUCAUAAUAACUUUCGGAUCGAUCUUCGGAUCGAUGCAUCAUUCAAGUUUCUGCCCUAUCAGCUUUGGAUGGUAGGGUAUUGGCCUACCAUGGCUUUAACGGGUAACGGAGAAUUAGGGUUCGAUUCCGGAGAGGGAGCCUGAGAAAUGGCUACCACAUCCAAGGAAGGCAGCAGG
Molecule: ribosomal RNA, 391 nt
Filed under: Chrysolepidomonas dendrolepidota
Lineage: Eukaryota; Chrysophyceae; Chromulinales; Chrysolepidomonadaceae
Description: partial small subunit ribosomal RNA
Rfam family: Eukaryotic small subunit ribosomal RNA
Source: RNAcentral